This 253-nucleotide ribosomal RNA is filed under the name uncultured bacterium. Its description in RNAcentral is "partial 16S ribosomal RNA". It matches the Rfam family "Bacterial small subunit ribosomal RNA", at positions 524 to 776 of the family's 1533-position model. The record is from RNAcentral.
UACGGGGGGGGUAAGCGUUGUUCGGAAUUACUGGGCGUAAAGGGCUCGUAGGCGGCCAACUAAGUCAGACGUGAAAUCCCUCAGCUUAACUGGGGAACUGCGUCUGAUACUGGAUGGCUUGGAUUCGGGAGAGGAAUGCGGAAUUCCAGGUGUAGCGGUGAAAUGCGUAGAUAUCUGGAGGAACGCCGGUGGCGAAGGCGGCGUUCUGGACUGCAACUGACACUGAAAAACGAAAGCCAGGGGAGCAAACGGG